UGUCCUAUUAACGCAAAGCAUUGCGAUAGCCCUCGCGGGUAUUAACGCAAUGUGAUUUCUGUGCUCUGUGGCGCCAGUGCUCUGAAUGUCAAUGUUAAGAAAUUCAAGCAAGCGCGGGUAAACGGCGGAAGUAACUGACAUUUUAGGCGAGUCAGUGGGGU
Molecule: non-coding RNA, 161 nt
Filed under: Lasius niger
Lineage: Eukaryota; Metazoa; Arthropoda; Insecta; Hymenoptera; Formicidae
Description: Eukaryotic large subunit ribosomal RNA
Rfam family: Eukaryotic large subunit ribosomal RNA
Source: Rfam by way of RNAcentral